GAGUACAAAAGCCACAUUGAGAGGCAUGGAAUCCAGUGAACCUUUGGUGAAUCGAGUGGAACCCAUCUUUGCUAUUACCAAGGCCUUCAGUUGUUGUAAUCGAACAUCCAUUUAUACUGCAGAGCAGUGUGAGACAUGAACUUAUCGUAAAAUCCUCAAUAUGUUCACGUAAUGGAUCAUACUUUGAGAGCAGCACAAUACAAGCACCACAGCCACCUUCACCACAACUGAGCUUGACACUCUUGAAACUGGUGUGUGAACGCAAGAAUUCAAGCAAAGUCAUAGAAGGGUCAACGCUUGAGAGCUCAAAUCUGUGUCCAUUAACAGCAAAGACCAGAUUGCUGGUUCCAGUUGGUCUUUCUUCUUCCAUUUGGUUCUGCAUUGGGAGACGCAGAAACUGCUAAGUAGCGAAACAGGCAUCCACAUUGCCUUGAAAGAUGCAAGUAAAUAGCAAAAGCGAA
RNAcentral lists this unclassified non-coding RNA (461 nucleotides) under Hevea brasiliensis (rubber tree). Lineage: Eukaryota; Viridiplantae; Streptophyta; Magnoliopsida; Malpighiales; Euphorbiaceae. The record is from RNAcentral.